GAAACCCAGGACUUUGAGUUUGAAUCCCAGCCCUCCUACGUGCUCUGUCACUUCAGCCAAAUCCCUUCACCUCUUGGGGAUUGGUGACAAUAAUGUGCCUUGCUGAUGGUGGGGGGAGGUCUCGAGUGAGGCUCUUUGGAAGGGCAAAGGGUUAGGUCAUAUGUCCCCAUGCGCACCCGAGUCCCCUUUCCCGUUCGCUGCAGUGGCGGGAAAUGGCGCCUCUCUGAAGUCCCAUCACUUCCUGCUUCCAAGUUUCAGUAGGAGCUGGGCCAGUAGGUGUAACUGCCAGGCGCCCUUCGGCGCGGCUCCCGUGGCGCUUCCUGUGCCCAGCGCAGCCAGCCUGUUGCGGGCAGGGGAGCAAUGCCAAGGGAACCAUGCUUCACCCUCUCCCCCGUCACCCACGUGGAUGUGUCAGCAGCCCCUCCCCUCCUGAGGAUUAGCGCCUGGAUUACUUCUGUUGGCGUCAGAAUUGUCCUUAUCUCAGCCAUCAUCAUUUCAGCCGCAACCGGUCGAGCGCUUCCUAAGUGCCAAGACUUCCGCACGUGACCCCCCCGCCAGCCGUCACCGACAGGUGAGAAUCCGGGCUUUCCUUUAUCAGCUAGCUCCUGGUUUGGAAGGAUUUGUUUCUAUCUGUGUCUAAGGUACAAAAGAAAAGAGGCGUUUUAACGCGGGGCAGAAGUGUGAGUCAGAGACAGCUUCAGACAAUCUGAGGUUUACCCACGCCUUCCGCUGCCAUCACCGCUCACGCUCAUACCCCAUGCUCCAGGCGUCGCAAGGCAAGGGUGGAGCUGGUGAGCCAAGCCCACUGAGCUGCUGGGAGUGGGGGUGUCUGCCCUUCAGCUGCUCAACUACGCGAGGAAGCGGAGAGGCCGGUCUCCUCCUCUUCGAGCGAUGGCAGGAUUCAGAAGAAAGAACGUGGUCGCUGUCUUCCUGCACAGCAGAACGAGCGUCCGCAAAUGAGAAUUGCCACAGGCCACGCACGGUGUCUAAGCAGGUACUUUGCCGAGCGCAAUUUCACAUAGCAUUUAAAAAAAUGCUUCCUUGCCAGGACUCUCUCUACUAAAGGCCACUUGGAAGAACUUGGAAAGCUUAACGAGGCCCCGAAAGGUUGCAGAGAAGGAAAAGUAUCGGCAUCAGCAAGCGUUAGAGAGGACGGGCCCUGCCAGGGAGGUGCUUGUCUGUCUCCGGCGGAAAGUUCCACCUGUCAUGGCACGAGCCUGG
Molecule: long non-coding RNA, 1221 nt
Filed under: Felis catus (domestic cat)
Lineage: Eukaryota; Metazoa; Chordata; Mammalia; Carnivora; Felidae
Description: lncRNA (ENSFCAG00000043052.2)
Source: RNAcentral